RNAcentral lists this ribosomal RNA (468 nucleotides) under uncultured bacterium. RNAcentral's name for it is "partial 16S ribosomal RNA". It matches the Rfam family "Bacterial small subunit ribosomal RNA", at positions 28 to 507 of the family's 1533-position model. The record is from RNAcentral.
GACGCACGCUGGCGGCGUGCUUAACACAUGCAAGUCGAACGGAAAGGCCCUGCUUUUGUGGGGUGCUCGAGUGGCGAACGGGUGAGUAACACGUGAGUAACCUGCCCUUGACUUUGGGAUAACUUCAGGAAACUGGGGCUAAUACCGGAUAGGAGCUCCUGCUGCAUGGUGGGGGUUGGAAAGUUUCGGCGGCUGGGGAUGGACUCGCGGCUUAUCAGCUUGUUGGUGGGGUAGUGGCUUACCAAGGCUUUGACGGGUAGCCGGCCUGAGAGGGUGACCGGCCACAUUGGGACUGAGAUACGGCCCAGACUCCUACGGGAGGCAGCAGUGGGGAAUAUUGCACAAUGGGCGGAAGCCUGAUGCAGCAACGCCGCGUGCGGGAUGACGGCCUUCGGGUUGUAAACCGCUUUCGCCUGUGACGAAGCGUGAGUGACGGUAAUGGGUAAAGAAGCACCGGCUAACUACGUG